This 460-nucleotide ribosomal RNA is filed under the name uncultured bacterium. RNAcentral describes it as "bacterial SSU rRNA". It matches the Rfam family "Bacterial small subunit ribosomal RNA", at positions 338 to 795 of the family's 1533-position model. The record is from RNAcentral.
CCUACGGGCUGCACCAGUGAGGAAUAUUGGUCAAUGGACGCAAGUCUGAACCAGCCAUGCCGCGUGCAGGAUGACGGUCCUAUGGAUUGUAAACUGCUUUUGUACGAGAAGAAACACUCCUACGUGUAGGAGCUUGACGGUAUCGUAAGAAUAAGGAUCGGCUAACUCCGUGCCAGCAGCCGCGGUAAUACGGAGGAUCCAAGCGUUAUCCGGAAUCAUUGGGUUUAAAGGGUCUGUAGGCGGUUUAGUAAGUCAGUGGUGAAAGCCCAUCGCUCAACGGUGGAACGGCCAUUGAUACUGCUGAACUUGAAUUACUGGGAAGUAGCUAGAAUAUGUAGUGUAGCGGUGAAAUGCUUAGAUAUUACAUGGAAUACCAAUUGCGAAGGCAGGUUACUACCAGUUUAUUGACGCUGAUGGACGAAAGCGUGGGGAGCGAACAGGAUUAGAUACCCUCGUAGUC